This 266-nucleotide ribosomal RNA is filed under the name uncultured bacterium. RNAcentral describes it as "partial 16S ribosomal RNA". It matches the Rfam family "Bacterial small subunit ribosomal RNA", at positions 88 to 354 of the family's 1533-position model. The record is from RNAcentral.
UGAGUUAGUGGCGGACGGGUGAGUAACGCGUGGGUAACCUGCCUUACACAGGGGGAUAACACCUGGAAACAGGUGCUAAUACCGCAUAAGCGCACAGGGCCGCAUGGCCCGGUGUGAAAAACUCCGGUGGUGUAAGAUGGACCCGCGUCUGAUUAGCUUGUUGGCGGGGUAGGGGCCCACCAAGGCGACGAUCAGUAGCCGGCCUGAGAGGGUGGACGGCCACAUUGGGACUGAGACACGGCCCAAACUCCUACGGAAGGCAGCAG